Molecule: ribosomal RNA, 2286 nt
Filed under: Staphylococcus aureus
Lineage: Bacteria; Bacillati; Bacillota; Bacilli; Caryophanales; Staphylococcaceae
Description: bacterial LSU rRNA
Rfam family: Bacterial large subunit ribosomal RNA
Source: RNAcentral
UUAAGUUAUUAAGGGCGCACGGUGGAUGCCUUGGCACUAGAAGCCGAUGAAGGACGUUACUAACGACGAUAUGCUUUGGGGAGCUGUAAGUAAGCUUUGAUCCAGAGAUUUCCGAAUGGGGAAACCCAGCAUGAGUUAUGUCAUGUUAUCGAUAUGUGAAUACAUAGCAUAUCAGAAGGCACACCCGGAGAACUGAAACAUCUUAGUACCCGGAGGAAGAGAAAGAAAAUUCGAUUCCCUUAGUAGCGGCGAGCGAAACGGGAAGAGCCCAAACCAACAAGCUUGCUUGUUGGGGUUGUAGGACACUCUAUACGGAGUUACAAAGGACGACAUUAGACGAAUCAUCUGGAAAGAUGAAUCAAAGAAGGUAAUAAUCCUGUAGUCGAAAAUGUUGUCUCUCUUGAGUGGAUCCUGAGUACGACGGAGCACGUGAAAUUCCGUCGGAAUCUGGGAGGACCAUCUCCUAAGGCUAAAUACUCUCUAGUGACCGAUAGUGAACCAGUACCGUGAGGGAAAGGUGAAAAGCACCCCGGAAGGGGAGUGAAAUAGAACCUGAAACCGUGUGCUUACAAGUAGUCAGAGCCCGUUAAUGGGUGAUGGCGUGCCUUUUGUAGAAUGAACCGGCGAGUUACGAUUUGAUGCAAGGUUAAGCAGUAAAUGUGGAGCCGUAGCGAAAGCGAGUCUGAAUAGGGCGUUUAGUAUUUGGUCGUAGACCCGAAACCAGGUGAUCUACCCUUGGUCAGGUUGAAGUUCAGGUAACACUGAAUGGAGGACCGAACCGACUUACGUUGAAAAGUGAGCGGAUGAACUGAGGGUAGCGGAGAAAUUCCAAUCGAACCUGGAGAUAGCUGGUUCUCUCCGAAAUAGCUUUAGGGCUAGCCUCAAGUGAUGAUUAUUGGAGGUAGAGCACUGUUUGGACGAGGGGCCCCUCUCGGGUUACCGAAUUCAGACAAACUCCGAAUGCCAAUUAAUUUAACUUGGGAGUCAGAACAUGGGUGAUAAGGUCCGUGUUCGAAAGGGAAACAGCCCAGACCACCAGCUAAGGUCCCAAAAUAUAUGUUAAGUGGAAAAGGAUGUGGCGUUGCCCAGACAACUAGGAUGUUGGCUUAGAAGCAGCCAUCAUUUAAAGAGUGCGUAAUAGCUCACUAGUCGAGUGACACUGCGCCGAAAAUGUACCGGGGCUAAACAUAUUACCGAAGCUGUGGAUUGUCCUUUGGACAAUGGUAGGAGAGCGUUCUAAGGGCGUUGAAGCAUGAUCGUAAGGACAUGUGGAGCGCUUAGAAGUGAGAAUGCCGGUGUGAGUAGCGAAAGACGGGUGAGAAUCCCGUCCACCGAUUGACUAAGGUUUCCAGAGGAAGGCUCGUCCGCUCUGGGUUAGUCGGGUCCUAAGCUGAGGCCGACAGGCGUAGGCGAUGGAUAACAGGUUGAUAUUCCUGUACCACCUAUAAUCGUUUUAAUCGAUGGGGGGACGCAGUAGGAUAGGCGAAGCGUGCGAUUGGAUUGCACGUCUAAGCAGUAAGGCUGAGUAUUAGGCAAAUCCGGUACUCAUUAAGGCUGAGCUGUGAUGGGGAGAAGACAUUGUGUCUUCGAGUCGUUGAUUUCACACUGCCGAGAAAAGCCUCUAGAUAGAAAAUAGGUGCCCGUACCGCAAACCGACACAGGUAGUCAAGAUGAGAAUUCUAAGGUGAGCGAGCGAACUCUCGUUAAGGAACUCGGCAAAAUGACCCCGUAACUUCGGGAGAAGGGGUGCUCUUUAGGGUUAACGCCCAGAAGAGCCGCAGUGAAUAGGCCCAAGCGACUGUUUAUCAAAAACACAGGUCUCUGCUAAACCGUAAGGUGAUGUAUAGGGGCUGACGCCUGCCCGGUGCUGGAAGGUUAAGAGGAGUGGUUAGCUUCUGCGAAGCUACGAAUCGAAGCCCCAGUAAACGGCGGCCGUAACUAUAACGGUCCUAAGGUAGCGAAAUUCCUUGUCGGGUAAGUUCCGACCCGCACGAAAGGCGUAACGAUUUGGGCACUGUCUCAACGAGAGACUCGGUGAAAUCAUAGUACCUGUGAAGAUGCAGGUUACCCGCGACAGGACGGAAAGACCCCGUGGAGCUUUACUGUAGCCUGAUAUUGAAAUUCGGCACAGCUUGUACAGGAUAGGUAGGAGCCUUUGAAACGUGAGCGCUAGCUUACGUGGAGGCGCUGGUGGGAUACUACCCUAGCUGUGUUGGCUUUCUAACCCGCACCACUUAUCGUGGUGGGAGACAGUGUCAGGCGGGCAGUUUGACUGGGGCGGGCGCC